GAGUUUGAUCCUGGCUCAGAUUGAACGCUGGCGGCAGGCCUAACACAUGCAAGUCGAGCGGAAACGAGUUAACUGAACCUUCGGGGAACGUUAACGGCGUCGAGCGGCGGACGGGUGAGUAAUGCCUGGGAAAUUGCCCUGAUGUGGGGGAUAACCAUUGGAAACGAUGGCUAAUACCGCAUAAUAGCUUCGGCUCAAAGAGGGGGACCUUCGGGCCUCUCGCGUCAGGAUAUGCCCAGGUGGGAUUAGCUAGUUGGUGAGGUAAUGGCUCACCAAGGCGACGAUCCCUAGCUGGUCUGAGAGGAUGAUCAGCCACACUGGAACUGAGACACGGUCCAGACUCCUACGGGAGGCAGCAGUGGGGAAUAUUGCACAAUGGGCGCAAGCCUGAUGCAGCCAUGCCGCGUGUAUGAAGAAGGCCUUCGGGUUGUAAAGUACUUUCAGCAGUGAGGAAGGUGGGUAUGUUAAUAGCAUACUCAUUUGACGUUAGCUGCAGAAGAAGCACCGGCUAACUCCGUGCCAGCAGCCGCGGUAAUACGGAGGGUGCGAGCGUUAAUCGGAAUUACUGGGCGUAAAGCGCAUGCAGGUGGUUUGUUAAGUCAGAUGUGAAAGCCCGGGGCUCAACCUCGGAAUUGCAUUUGAAACUGGCAAACUAGAGUACUGUAGAGGGGGGUAGAAUUUCAGGUGUAGCGGUGAAAUGCGUAGAGAUCUGAAGGAAUACCGGGGGUAAAGGCGGCCCCCUGGACAAAAACGGA
This 755-nucleotide ribosomal RNA is filed under the name uncultured bacterium. Its description in RNAcentral is "bacterial SSU rRNA". It matches the Rfam family "Bacterial small subunit ribosomal RNA", at positions 9 to 743 of the family's 1533-position model. The record is from RNAcentral.